GUGGAUUAGAUACCCCAGUAGUCCACGCCGUAAACGAUGUCGAUUUGGAGGCUGUGUCCUUGAGACGUGGCUUCCGGAGCUAACGCGUUAAAUCGACCGCCUGGGGAGUACGGCCGCAAGGUUAAAACUCAAAUGAAUUGACGGGGGCCCGCACAAGCGGUGGAGCAUGUGGUUUAAUUCGAUGCAACGCGAAGAACCUUACCUGGCCUUGACAUGUCUGGAAUCCUGUAGAGAUACGGGAGUGCCUUCGGGAAUCAGAACACAGGUGCUGCACGGCCGUCGACAACU
RNAcentral lists this ribosomal RNA (288 nucleotides) under uncultured bacterium. RNAcentral's name for it is "partial 16S ribosomal RNA". It matches the Rfam family "Bacterial small subunit ribosomal RNA", at positions 773 to 1060 of the family's 1533-position model. The record is from RNAcentral.